This 465-nucleotide ribosomal RNA is filed under the name uncultured bacterium. Its description in RNAcentral is "partial 16S ribosomal RNA". It matches the Rfam family "Bacterial small subunit ribosomal RNA", at positions 28 to 507 of the family's 1533-position model. The record is from RNAcentral.
GACGAACGCUGGCGGCGUGCUUAACACAUGCAAGUCGAACGGAAAGGCCCUGCUUGCAGGGUACUCGUGUGGCGAACGGGUGAGUAACACGUGGGGGAUCUGCCCUGCACUUCGGGAUAAGCCUGGGAAACUGGGUCUAAUACCGGAUAGGAGCCAUUUUUAGUGUGAUGGUUGGAAAGUUUUUUCGGUGUAGGAUGAGCUCGCGGCCUAUCAGCUUGUUGGUGGGGUAAUGGCCUACCAAGGCGGCGACGGGUAGCCGGCCUGAGAGGGUGGACGGCCACAUUGGGACUGAGAUACGGCCCAGACUCCUACGGGAGGCAGCAGUGGGGAAUAUUGCACAAUGGGCGCAAGCCUGAUGCAGCGACGCCGCGUGGGGGAUGACGGACUUCGGGUUGUAAACUCCUUUCGCUAGGGACGAAGCUUUUUGUGACGGUACCUAGAGAAGAAGCACCGGCUAACUACGUG